AUGUCUACGAGCCAGGAUUCCCGAUCCAGAGACAAUGGCCCCGAUGGGAUGGAGCCUGAAGGCGUCAUCGAGAGUAACUGGAAUGAGAUUGUUGACAGUUUUGAUGACAUGAACUUCUCAGAGUCCCUUCUCCGUGGCAUCUACGCCUAUGGUUUUGAGAAGCCAUCUGCCAUCCAGCAGCGAGCCAUUCUACCUUGUAUCAAGGGUUAUGAUGUGAUCGCUCAAGCCCAAUCUGGGACUGGGAAAACGGCCACAUUUGCCAUAUCGAUUCUGCAGCAGAUCAAAUUAGAUCUAAAAGCCACCCAGGCCUUGGUCCUGGCACCCACUCGAGAAUUGGCUCAGCAGAUACAGAAGGUGGUCAUGGCACUAGGAGACUACAUGGGCGCCUCCUGUCAUGCCUGUAUUGGGGGCACCAACGUACGUGCUGAGGUGCAGAAACUGCAGAUGGAAGCCCCCACAUAAUCGUGGGGACCCCUGGCCGAGUGUUUGAUAUGCUUAACCGGAGAUACCUGUCUCCCAAAUACAUCAAGAUGCUUGUACUGGACGAAGCUGACGAAAUGUUAAGCCGUGGAUUCAAGGACCAGAUCUAUGACAUAUUCCAAAAGCUCAACAGCAACACCCAGGUAGUUUUGCUGUCAGCUACAAUGCCUUCUGAUGUGCUUGAGGUGACUAAGAAGUUCAUGAGGGACCCUAUUCGGAUUCUUGUCAAGAAGGAAGAGUUGACCCUGGAGGGUAUCUGCCAAUUCUACAUCAACGUGGAACGAGAGGAGUGGAAGCUGGACACACUAUGUGACUUGUAUGAAACCCUGACCAUCACCCAGCCAGUCAUCUUCAUCAACACCCGGAGGAAGGUGGACUGGCUCACCGAGAAGAUGCAUGCUUGAGAUUUCACUGUGUCUGCCAUGCAUGGAGAUAUGGACCAAAAGGAACGAGACAUGAUCAUGAGGGAGUUUCGUUCUGGCUCUAGCAGAAUUUUGAUUACCACUGACCUGCUGGCCAGAGGCACUGAUGUGCAGCAGGUUUCUUUAGUCAUCAACUAUGAUUUUCCCACCAACAGGGAAAACUAUAUCCACAGAAUCGGUCGAGGUGGACGGUUUGGCCGUAAAGGUGUGGCUGUUAACAUGGUGACAGAAGAAGACAAGAGGACUCUUCAAGACAUCGAGACCUUCUAUAACACCUCCAUUGAGGAAAUGCCCCUCAAUGUUGCUGACCUCAUCUGAGGGGCUGUCCUGCCACCCAGCCCCAGCCAGGGCUCAAU
Molecule: RNA transcript, 1258 nt
Organism: Rhinopithecus roxellana (golden snub-nosed monkey)
Lineage: Eukaryota; Metazoa; Chordata; Mammalia; Primates; Cercopithecidae
Gene name: eukaryotic initiation factor 4A-I-like
Exons: 1
Source: RefSeq, a predicted model, not a curated record